CCUACGGGUGGCAGCAGUGGGGGAUAUUGCACAAUGGGGGAAACCCUGAUGCAGCGACGCCGCGUGGGCGAAGAAGUAUUUCGGUAUGUAAAGCCCUAUCAGCCGGGAAGAAGAAAUGACGGUACCUGAGUAAGCAGCACCGGCUAAAUACGUGCCAGCAGCCGCGGUAAUACGUAUGGUGCAGGCGUUAUCCGGAUUUACUGGGGGUAAAGGGAGCGCAGGCGGCACGGCAAGCCUGAUGUGAAAGCCCGGGGCCCAACCGGGGGACUGCAUUGGGAACUACCGGGCUGGAGUGCCGGAGAGGUAGGCGGAAUUCCUAGUGUAGCGGUGAAAUGCGUAGAUAUUAGGAGGAACACCAGUGGCGAAGGCGGCCUACUGGACGGUGACUGACGCUGAGGCUCGAAAGCGUGGGGAGCAAACAGGAUUAGAUACCCUGGUAGUC
This 442-nucleotide ribosomal RNA is filed under the name uncultured bacterium. Its description in RNAcentral is "partial 16S ribosomal RNA". It matches the Rfam family "Bacterial small subunit ribosomal RNA", at positions 338 to 795 of the family's 1533-position model. The record is from RNAcentral.